This 299-nucleotide long non-coding RNA is filed under the name Bos taurus (domestic cattle). Its description in RNAcentral is "long non-coding RNA NONBTAT018218". Lineage: Eukaryota; Metazoa; Chordata; Mammalia; Artiodactyla; Bovidae. The record is from RNAcentral.
AGGGUGCUGAUCUAUGACUCCUAGUGUGCACGUUCCUGAAGACCAUGCUGCCUCCUCCUCUCAGCUACGUUGGGCAAGGCCUCAGGGUAAAGUCUUGUGGGAAGCCUGUGAGAAAAGCAUAUGCCUCUUGCUGGUGACUUACUGCCUUCACACCGUCAGGCUUGCCAGAGACAGGAAAUCAGGGGUCUUAAGGGGUGGGAGAAGUCUGCACAUUUAUUUUCCAGCCAGACUUCUGGCUGUACCCACUGGCGUCACAAGCUCUUCAUCCCCUGGGAGAGUGCUGGGUUUCUGACGAUGCU